RNAcentral lists this long non-coding RNA (199 nucleotides) under Carica papaya (papaya). RNAcentral describes it as "long non-coding RNA (CPAP_LNC009048)". The record is from RNAcentral. Lineage: Eukaryota; Viridiplantae; Streptophyta; Magnoliopsida; Brassicales; Caricaceae.
UAAUAAUAGAGUUCCAUACAUAACUGAGACAUAAACAAAAUUAAUUACAAGCCUCUACAGAAGAUGGACUCAUCAGAGUGCGAGACAAUCAUGCACUCAUAAAAGAUUAUUGAUCCAUGGGAUCCUCAAAGGCUUCAAGGAGUAGGUCAGCGAUCAGUUCCUCACUACCUUCUUAUCUUGGGGGGGGGGGGCAAGGCAU